CGCCAGCGCGCUACCAUGCAGUCGAACGAGAAGUUCCUUCGGGUGAUGGACAGUGGCGGACGGGUGAGUAACACGUGGGAACAUGCCUUUCAGUAUGGAACAACCAUUGGAAACGAUGGCUAAUACCGUAUACGCCCUUCGGGGGAAAGAUUUAUCGCUGAAAGAUUGGCCCGCGCUAGAUUAGCUAGUUGGUAAGGUAAUGGCUUACCAAGGCUACGAUCUAUAGCUGGUUUGAGAGGAUGAUCAGCCACACUGGGACUGAGACACGGCCCAGACUCCUACGGGAGGCAGCAGUGGGGAAUAUUGGACAAUGGGGGCAACCCUGAUCCAGCGAUGCCGCGUGAGUGAUGAAGGCCUUAGGGUUGUAAAACUCUUUCAGGGGUGAAGAUAAUGACGGUAACCCCAGAAGAAGCUCCGGCUAACUCCGUGCCAGCAGCCGCGGUAAUACGGAGGGAGCUAGCGUUGUUCGGAAUUACUGGGCGUAAAGCGCGCGUAGGCGGCUUAGCAAGUUGGGGGCGAAAUCCCGGGGCUUAACCUCAGAACUGCCCUCAAAACUGCUGAGCUAGAAUCCUGGAGAGGUGAGCGGAAUUCCUAGUGUAGAGGUGAAAUUCGUAGAUAUUAGGAAGAACACCAGUGGCGAAGGCGGCUCACUGGACAGGUAUUGACGCUGAGGUGCGAAAGCGUGGGGAGCGAACAGGAUUAGAUACCCUGGUAGUCCACGCCGUAAACGAUGAGUGCUAGGUGUUGGGCAGCAUGCUGUUCAGUGCCGCAGCUAACGCGUUAAGCACUCCGCCUGGGGAGUACGGUCGCAAGAUUAAAACUCAAAGGAAUUGACGGGGGCCCGC
Molecule: ribosomal RNA, 845 nt
Filed under: uncultured marine bacterium
Lineage: Bacteria
Description: bacterial SSU rRNA
Rfam family: Bacterial small subunit ribosomal RNA
Source: RNAcentral